This is a non-coding RNA of Danio rerio (zebrafish), 73 nucleotides long. Lineage: Eukaryota; Metazoa; Chordata; Actinopteri; Cypriniformes; Danionidae. The record is from Rfam.
GUUUCUGUAGUGUAGUGGUCAUCACGUUCGCCUAACACGCGAAAGGUCCUCGGUUCGAAACCAAGCGGAAACA